RNAcentral lists this ribosomal RNA (312 nucleotides) under Triticum aestivum (bread wheat). RNAcentral's name for it is "partial small subunit ribosomal RNA". The record is from RNAcentral. Lineage: Eukaryota; Viridiplantae; Streptophyta; Magnoliopsida; Poales; Poaceae.
AUGGAAUGUGUUCGUACGGUCUCAUUUCCUGUGCGUGUGAAUGGGGAAUAUUCAAGGUUCUUCAAGUCAUCCAGAGGACUUAGACAAGGUGAUCUCAUAUCACCGUAUUUAUUUCUAUUACGUGCUGAAGAUUUUUCAUCUAUAUUGAAGAAUUCUGUCACACACAUCCUCUCUAUUUCUUUAGGAGGACCGGACUGUGGCACCUUAGUCUGGGCCUUCGAGAAGCAUGGUAUGUAUUCGGUGCGCUCAGCCUAUCAUUAUCUAUUGAAUAGUGUAGCUGCACAUCGGCAUAUUGACCCAACAUCAUCGUGA